Molecule: ribosomal RNA, 434 nt
Filed under: uncultured bacterium
Lineage: Bacteria
Description: partial 16S ribosomal RNA
Rfam family: Bacterial small subunit ribosomal RNA
Source: RNAcentral
AGCGAACGCUGGCGGCAGGCCUAAAACAUGCAAGUGGAACGAACCUUUCGGGGUUGGUGGCGGAGGGGUGGGAAACCCGUGGGACGGUGCCUUUGGGUUGGGAUUAACUAAGGGAAACUUGUGUUAAUACGGAAUGGGCCCUUGGGGGGAAGGAUUUAUCGCCUUUAGAGCGGCCCGCGUCUGAUUAGCUAGUUGGUUGAGGUAAUGGCUCACCAAGGCGACGAUCAGUAGCUGGUCUGAGAGGAUGAUCAGCCACAUUGGGACUGAGACACGGCCCAAACUCCUACGGGAGGCAGCAGUGGGGAAUCUUGCGCAAUGGGCGAAAGCCUGACGCAGCCAUGCCGCGUGAAUGAUGAAGGUCUUAGGAUUGUAAAAUUCUUUCACCGGGGACGAUAAUGACGGUACCCGGAGAAGAAGCCCCGGCUAACUUCGUG